CUCAGGUUGCUGCUUGUGGAAUUUGGAGCUGUGGAGAUUUGAGCUGUGCUCCAAAAGUGCAUGUAAAGAGUUCCCGAAUCGAAGUGAAGUGUGAAUGCAUCCUUCAAGCUGUGAUUAUAUACCUGAAUGAGAACCCUCAAAAUAUCAUCAAAGAGUACAUGGAUUUCAACGUGAUGGAAGCUGAAGAGCUCGAAAGGAUGGAUUUGGGGUGUUUAUAAAAUAAUCCACGAAGGAGCACAGCCUGAUGACUCCCUUGAA
Long non-coding RNA from Pelmatolapia mariae (spotted tilapia), 258 nucleotides. RefSeq lists it as uncharacterized. The transcript is spliced from 3 exons. The record is from RefSeq and is a predicted model, not a curated record. Lineage: Eukaryota; Metazoa; Chordata; Actinopteri; Cichliformes; Cichlidae.